UGGUGGAGUGAUUUGUCUGGUUUAUUCCGUUAACGAACGAGACCCCCGCCUGCUAAAUAACUCUGUUAAUGGUUUUCAUUGGCAUUGAGUUUCUUAGAGGGACUUUCAGUGUUUAACUUGAAGGAAGUUGGGGGCGAAUAACA
RNAcentral lists this ribosomal RNA (143 nucleotides) under uncultured eukaryote. RNAcentral describes it as "partial 18S ribosomal RNA". It matches the Rfam family "Eukaryotic small subunit ribosomal RNA", at positions 1299 to 1453 of the family's 1831-position model. The record is from RNAcentral.